This 497-nucleotide ribosomal RNA is filed under the name uncultured bacterium. RNAcentral's name for it is "partial 16S ribosomal RNA". It matches the Rfam family "Bacterial small subunit ribosomal RNA", at positions 28 to 507 of the family's 1533-position model. The record is from RNAcentral.
GAUGAACGCUGGCGGCGUGCCUAAUACAUGCAAGUCGAGCGAACGGACGAGAAGCUUGCUUCUCUGAUGUUAGCGGCGGACGGGUGAGUAACACGUGGAUAACCUACCUAUAAGACUGGGAUAACUUCGGGAAACCGGAGCUAAUACCGGAUAAUAUUUUGAACCGCAUGGUUCAAAAGUGAAAGACGGUCUUGCUGUCACUUAUAGAUGGAUCCGCGCUGCAUUAGCUAGUUGGUAAGGUAACGGCUUACCAAGGCAACGAUGCAUAGCCGACCUGAGAGGGUGAUCGCCCACACUGGAACUGAGACACGCUCCAGCCUCCUACGGGAGGCAGCAGUAGGGAAUCUUCCGCAAUGGGCGAAAGCCUGACGGAGCAACGCCGCGUGAGUGAUGAAGGUCUUCGGAUCGUAAAACUCUGUUAUUAGGGAAGAACAUAUGUGUAAGUAACUGUGCACAUCUUGACGGUACCUAAUCAGAAAGCCACGGCUAACUACGUG